UGCAGUCGAGCGGGGGAGGUUGCUUCGGUAACUGACCUAGCGGCGGACGGGUGAGUAAUGCUUAGGAAUCUGCCUAUUAGUGGGGGACAACAUCUCGAAAGGGAUGCUAAUACCGCAUACGUCCUACGGGAGAAAGCAGGGGACCUUCGGGCCUUGCGCUAAUAGAUGAGCCUAAGUCGGAUUANCUAGUUGGUGGGGUAAAGGCCUACCAAGGCGACNAUCUGUAGCGGGUCUGA
This 236-nucleotide ribosomal RNA is filed under the name uncultured bacterium. RNAcentral's name for it is "partial 16S ribosomal RNA". It matches the Rfam family "Bacterial small subunit ribosomal RNA", at positions 60 to 295 of the family's 1533-position model. The record is from RNAcentral.